This 492-nucleotide ribosomal RNA is filed under the name uncultured bacterium. RNAcentral's name for it is "partial 16S ribosomal RNA". It matches the Rfam family "Bacterial small subunit ribosomal RNA", at positions 29 to 507 of the family's 1533-position model. The record is from RNAcentral.
AGUGAACGCUGGCGGUAGGCCUAACACAUGCAAGUCGAACGGCAGCACAGUAAGAGCUUGCUCUUACGGGUGGCGAGUGGCGGACGGGUGAGGAAUACAUCGGAAUCUACUUUUUCGUGGGGGGUAACGUAGGGAUACUUACGCUAAUACCGCAUACGACCUACGGGUGAAAGCAGGGGAUCUUCGGACCUUGCGCGAUUGAAUGAGCCGAUGUCGGAUUAGCUAGUUGGCGGGGUAAAGGCCCACCAAGGCGACGAUCCGUAGCUGGUCUGAGAGGAUGAUCAGCCACACUGGAACUGAGACACGGUCCAGACUCCUACGGGAGGCAGCAGUGGGGAAUAUUGGACAAUGGGCGCAAGCCUGAUCCAGCCAUACCGCGUGGGUGAAGAAGGCCUUCGGGUUGUAAAGCCCUUUUGUUGGGAAAGAAAAGCAGCAGGUUAAUACCCCGCUGUUCUGACGGUACCCAAAGAAUAAGCACCGGCUAACUUCGUG